This 442-nucleotide ribosomal RNA is filed under the name uncultured bacterium. RNAcentral's name for it is "partial 16S ribosomal RNA". It matches the Rfam family "Bacterial small subunit ribosomal RNA", at positions 338 to 795 of the family's 1533-position model. The record is from RNAcentral.
CCUACGGGGGGCAGCAGUGGGGAAUAUUGGGCAAUGGGCGCAAGCCUGACCCAGCAAUGCCGCGUGAAGGAAGAAGGCUUUCGGGUUGUAAACUUCUUUGACAGGGGAAGAGCAGAAGACGGUACCCUGAAAACAAGACACGGCUAACUACGUGCCAGCAGCCGCGGUAAUACGUAGGUGGCAAGCGUUGUCCGGAUUUACUGGGUGUAAAGGGCGUGUAGCCGGGAAGGCAAGUCAGUUGUGAAAUCUGGAGGCUCAACCUCCAAAUUGCAUUUGAAACUGUUUGUCUUGAGUACUGGAGAGGCAGACGGAAUUCCUUGUGUAGCGGUGAAAUGCGUAGAUAUAAGGAGGAACACCAGUGGCGAAGGCGGUCUGCUGGACAGCAACUGACGGUGAGGCGCGAAAGCGUGGGGAGCAAACAGGAUUAGAUACCCCAGUAGUC